This is a small nuclear RNA of Nannospalax galili (Upper Galilee mountains blind mole rat), 107 nucleotides long. Lineage: Eukaryota; Metazoa; Chordata; Mammalia; Rodentia; Spalacidae. The record is from Ensembl.
GUGCUCAAUUCAACAUCACCUGUACUAAAUCUGGAAUGAGACAGAGAAAAUUAGCACAGCUCCUAUGCCAGGAUAUCAUACACAUUUGUGAAACAUUCAUAUUUCUU